Long non-coding RNA from Manis pentadactyla (Chinese pangolin), 1793 nucleotides. RefSeq lists it as uncharacterized. The record is from RefSeq and is a predicted model, not a curated record. NCBI's taxonomy places the organism in Eukaryota, Metazoa, Chordata, Mammalia, Pholidota, Manidae. The transcript has 2 exons.
UAUGGCCAGCAUUUAUUAAGAAGUUCAUUUUUAUCACAUUUGAUAUGAUGCCUUUAACUCAUAGUAAAUAUUCUAUUGCUUUUGAGUGUAUUUCUUAACUUCCUACUUUUUUCUGUUGUCUUGUCUGUCCAUACAUGGACAGACCCACAUCAUCUUCCUUCCCUUUAUUUGUAAUGGGUUUUACUUUUAAUACAACUCGUUUCUCUUCAUGGCUUUUUAUUUCCUAGACCUAGUCUUACUUGUUUAUUUUUUCAUGUGAAUUUCAUUUUUUUCCAGCCUCAUUGAGAUAUAAUUGACAUAAAACAUUGUAUAAAUUUAAGGUAUACUUUGUGUUGAUUGGAUCCAUUUAUAUAUUGCAAAAUGAUUACCACCAUUACAUUAGCCAACACCUCCGUCCAGUCACAUAAUUACCAUUUCUUUUUUGUGGUAAGGACAUUUAAGAUCUACUCUUUCAUCAACUUUCAAGUAUAUUAGACAGUAUUAUUAGCUAUAUCAUAACUUCAGAAUCAGCUUCUGUGAUUCCAGAAAAAUGAUCUGUGUGUACGUUAAUUUGGUCGUAAUAUAUUUUAAAAAUUAACUAUGGAAGAAUUGGCAUCUUGAUGUUGAGUCUAAGAACGUGUUACAUCUUUGUGUUCAAGUUUACUUUUGUGGCUUCAAAAAAUGUUUAAAUUUGUUUACGUGGUUUUCCUGUUAAGCUUGCUCCUGAGUUCAUUAUUUUAUUUGUCUAACUCGGGGAUAGACAGAUUACAGGCCCACUGUCUGUUUUUGAAUGGCCCAUGAUGUAAAAAUAGUUUUUACCUUUUUGAUUGUUAAAAAAAAUGUUUUAAAAAGUAAAACUUUGUGACACAUGAAAAAUUAUUUGAAAUCCAAGUUUCAGUGUCUGUAAUAAAGUUUAUUGCAACAGCCACACCCAUUCCUUUAUGUAUUAUCUAUGGGCUCCUUUCUUGCUAUGAAGGCUGAGUGGAGCAGUUGUGAUGAAGACCGUAUGGCUCACGAAGCCUAAAAUGUUUGCUCUUUGGCCCAUUACAGGAAGUGUCUGCUGACCUCUGCUCCGAGUGGUGGUGGUUUUAAGGCAUGCUUAUGUCCUCCGAGUUUGUCACUCAUGACUCGCCUGGUACUACAUUCAAGACAAUUCAGAAUUUAACUGACGUUGAGGGAAAAUCAACAGAAAGACAGCCCGGAAGUUUCCAGUCAAAUUUGCUUUCUUCCAUUGGAAUCAUUCCUUGUGAGAGGGGCAGAAGCUUCUUUGGAGAAAGAAGGGAAAGAUUCAGACUGCCUAGCCACGUAAUCUUACUGAGGAGAAAUGACAACACAGAACUGCCACCCCACCACAUUUUGUGUCGUCAGUUUGUGGCCUGUAGGUGGAGCCAUCUGAGUUUUCAUGAGCCACAGGCCUCGAGUCAGCAUUACCUUACUGGGAGGACUGACUCUGUCUUCACUUUGUGUCAAGGUUUCACCCAGUCUGCUCUGCUCUUUGUGAAGGCUUGUGCAUCGCUGACAGCUGGCUGUCCCUGUGUCCUCCCUGACGACAUGUCGUCUUCUCCCACGUCAGCUCCUACUUCUCAUUGAAUGAGUUGGAAUUGCAGGUCCCAACCUUGUUCGUAUUAGUAGAAUGUUAAUGAAGAUCUGGAACAGAGCAGAUGUGUUAGUUUGGCCUAAAUAUGUCCAUCUCUGUUUAUGACAGCUCGUAAAGGUUUGUAACAAGACUUAAUUCUACUAGAAUUUGUUCCAUGAUCUUGAGAUGACCCAAUCUGGAAGAAAUACCGUUUUUCUCUAUUGAGUCUCCAAAAGCC